This is an RNA transcript of Aedes albopictus (Asian tiger mosquito), 9754 nucleotides long. RefSeq lists it as uncharacterized. Lineage: Eukaryota; Metazoa; Arthropoda; Insecta; Diptera; Culicidae. The transcript is spliced from 2 exons. The record is from RefSeq and is a predicted model, not a curated record.
GUGAUAUUUGUAAUCAAAACACAGCCCAACCAUCAUUUCAUUCCGUGUGUUUAUUUGUGUUCAUAGAACUAACAUUGCUCAUGUUCAAUAAUCACUACAGUUGAUAAUCACGAACUCGUUUCGCGUAAAAUAAGUCCUCUAUGAAUAAUGUGUAUAUGUAUUUAUGUCAGUAAAAUGGUUUGCCCAAGUUAACAUACUCGUUUUGGUUCCAAGCGAAAACAUCCCCAGGGCCUCCUGAAAAAUGACUUUUCUGUAUCUAUUAAUAAGCAACACAGAAGUUUUACAGCAAUUGCCCAUCAACGCACGUCACAGGUUUUUGAUAUGGGUAACAUUAUCAUGAGGGUUCGGCCACUUAGUGGUAACACUUCUAUAGGGACAUCCACAUACCACAUGGAACAGCAAUGGACACGAAUCGAAACAGCUUUCUUUCACAAUUAUAAAAGGCAUCUUAAAGUUUUAUUCGAUAUCUCCACACCUCCGGGUGCAAAAUAUUUCAUUGUGCGAUGGGUUGGUCCUUGCUGUAGGUUUCUUAUUUGGUGCGUUUUUCUUUUCGACAAAUCUUCAAAAGAUUUUCAUAAGAUGGUUCCCGAGAAACACUCAUGUCUUACAUAGAUAUAUGUUACACUUACAUAACCAAGUUUGGUAAUAUUAUAGAAGUAAUAUAAAUACAAGUUGCAAGGGAUUAAAGGCUGAAGGAAUGAUUUCGCCAGAACCAAGAUUGAUUUUUUCGUGAUUAUGAUCGCAUCGAUAUGCCAAAAACAAGCUUAUUCUGCACAUUUCACAUACACAAUGGUAACAACAAGCAGCUGCAAAAACAUAUGUACAUAACAGUCGUGACGCGGCUUUCAAGCAAUAAUGAAUUCGCGUUUUUUCUUCUUUCAAUGUAACAGGUAUAUUCGUUAAAAUAUGUUCAGUUGUGUCAUAUUAUUGUGCUAUUGUUUUAUUUUUUGUAUUUCUUGUUUGAACAGCUACCGACAAUUUGUAUAACACGUAAGCUCACUAACACAUUGAUACUGGCGUUGUUGGCUCGGUAGCUGAGAAUGUCCCAGCCGCAAAUUUCACUCAAAUAGGCGUAUUGUUUCUCAAGCAGGUGCAUUUCAUGAUUAAGUAGUGUUUGUGAUCGAGGAGGUUUUAAUUAAUUCUGAAAAAUGUUCUAUGGCAACUUGCCAUCAAUAAAAAAAAUACAAAGUUAUAAACAAAAGAUUUCGAUGGUUAACUGUAUGUGAAUGAUGAGUGUAGUACCCCUAGGGGAAAGCCGGUUAUUGUCUCUAACUUUGCUAGUUCCUGUUCGAAGAUUGUUGAGCUGUUAAAUGUGGCAUGACUUCAGACAGUUGUUUAGUUUUCCAAUCGAUGUUUGAAGUUGUGUGUAAAAUAUGUGCAAACCUUGGCGUGAUUAUUACUUCAACUGCUUUCGAGAUAGAGCAUUAACGAAUUAAUGUUAAGCGUUUCGUAACAUUUAUAUAAGCCCAUUGAGAUGAUUGUCCUUAUUUAUGAUAACAAUUUGAGAUGAAAUUAGGCAGAAUAUAAAACCCCUUUUUUUAAAUGCUGUAACAAACGAUGCUCAUGCCUUAAAAAAUAUCGUCGUUUCAUUUAUCGCUUUUAGUUACGGAAAGCUGCAAGUUAUAUUUAUUCUUGAAAAAUCUCUUCCAUUGUACUGCAGAAACUAUUUCAAAAUUUGAACCACCGACAAUUAUUAUCUCUUACUAUCAGGUAAACCCCUCAUUAAUUAAUGUCUGGAAGAAAUAAAGCAACUUGAUCUGCUCAUCUAACAAGCAAGUGAUGCCCCAUUUGAAUCCCGAUGGAUGUUCUUCUCUCGAAAGCAGCUGCUCGUGACAGACUAUUAAAUUUUGUGUUUAUCCUUGGCUUGUCCCCUGUCUGUAGUGGUUGGUACCAGUUUUCCAAGCUCCAAACGAAUCCUUUCGCUUUUGUCUGAUGGCACCGCUGCCAUACUGGUCCGAGCCGAGGAAUGACGGUGCCAUUGCGUGUAGACUUUGAACUUAAUUUGGUUUCCCCCUCUUCUGUCCUGCCCUGAACAGUCCCAUCAUACCCAAACAUCAGGCACCCACUAAGAUUGAUGGCAUGCUCGAAAUCCUUCCCAAAGGAGGUUCGUUUGGAAUGGCCAACAGUCCGAAGCAUUCGAACUAAAGCUACAAACAUACACACUUACACAAACAUUGACACAGUCAGUUGGCGUGGCUUAUAACGAUGCUCCGAAUUACAAGACUCACGUCUUAUCUCUAUUGUUCCUAAUCUUAACUGGGUAGUUUUCCGUUUCUUCGCUCUCCCACCCUUAUGGCUUCUAGCGCUGUGAUGAGCUUCGUCUUCAAUUAGUAGUAAAAAACAUGGACACGACAAAAAAUGGUCAACGUGGUUCGCAAUUUUAGUAAGGUACACCGGGGCAAGAUGGAACGCGAAGUUUUGAAAUAGGUUUCAAUACAACUUGGAAAUUUAUCCUUCGCUACUUGAAUCAAAAACUAUGUGUUAUGGCAAUCAAAUGGUUUAUCAUCAUUACAAAACAUCAUGUGAGCCCUGUUUCAUCUUGCCCCACCCGUUUCAACUUGCCCCGGUAUACCUUAUUUUCACAAUUUGUUCAAAUGGGCUUAAACCUGUUAACAGCUACAUAAGAUUAUAAAGCCUGUAUCCGCAAUAAUCGGGACACAGAAAUACAGCUGUAAAUCUGUAAUAGAUACAUUAAAAUUGCUCAAAUUUGGCCUAAUAAUAUCUUAAGAUGCGUUCAUUUCAACAACAAAAUUUCAUGUGAAUUGGUGCAGUACUUUUUGUUUUAGCAAUAAACGAAUAAAAUGUGCCCCAAUGAAUUCGGUACAGCCCCUAGUUUUGCUUGUCAGCGCUGCAACUUUUGAUUUUGGCAAAGGAAAUGCACUACCUUCUGUGAAAAUUUCAUGAAAAUUGGCAGAGAAAUUCAAAAUUUAUGAAUAGGCAAACAUCGCACAUGAAAAACACGAACAUUUUUCACUAACACUCACCCCUAUCAACACCAGUAGCUUUCAAACCAGUUGAUUAAAGUUGAUGAAAUUUUGCAAGAAAGUGUCUCUAUAAGUGUCACAACUGCUAACGAAAUUUCAUAAUUAUCAUCACAGAGCUUUGAACUGUAGCGUAAAAGAACUAUCUACUAUGAGAAUGAAAUUGGUCAUGAUUGCACAAAAUGCUUAAAACCACGUCUGUUUGUUUUUCAUCCACAAUUAAAAGUAAUGCAUCGAUUUUUAUGAAAUUUGGUACAUAUAAUAAACAUACACCGAAGAGUUCUCAGUCAAUUAUUUGGCCUAUUUUACCGAUUCAUUACAGAGCUACAGCCGUACUUCUGUGUCCCGAUUAUUGCGGAUACAGGCUUUAAUGUGUGAACAUAUUGGGUUUCUUCAAUUUCGGUGUAGUUUACAUGCAAAUUGCAUAUACUGCCAAACACUGGAAGUACUAACGAUGAUGUUGAUUGUCAUGGCAAAAUCAGAGCUGGUUAUUUAAAACUUAUAGCGCCCCUAUACUGGUACGUCCCCAUGGAUAUGACAUCAAAAUGGCGCUUAAUUACGAAUUAUUCCGGGAAAUCCCUUCAAUAAGUUAUCCCUCACAACUGAGGGGGUUAAGGGGUGUAAGUGCCAAAAACCUACUUUCGAGUAAAUGUGGUUUAAAGUUUUCCCCAAUUUUUACUCCAUAGAAAAUGUAUGGAGUUCAAAAAUCAACCCAGUUCUCUCCGAUUUAUUGUAGUUUUUCUAAUCAUCUUUAAAAUAAUCUUGCAAAAGUUCCUAAGUGCUUAAAAUCUGAAGAAGUUUUUGAUAUUCUCAGCUCAAAAUCGACAAAACUGUCACUUACACCCCUUUGCAUCUGGGUCCUCAAUUAUUUUUACUAUAAUUAUUGUGGAGGGCACACUUACCGGUUUUUUUUUUCAUAAACUUAAGUUCAGCUGGAAGGCUUCUUGAGAUACAUCGGUGAAUUUUUCAAAUUAUAUUAUUCUCAUGUACCUACUUCCAAGCCUAUGCACAAGGAAGCGAUUUUGGGCCAAAACAAACUUUCCCUUUUCGCCUUUUCUGUGCACGGGCCUGCCUACUUCUAUAGAUUUUUCACCAGGACUGCCUCUAGUAAAACCGUCAGGAAUUUCUUCAAUGAUUCUCUCAGAAUUUAUCUAUAUGCAGGAUUUUCUACAAUAUUUCGGCAUGAAUAAAAAUUCUCAAAAAUUCCUCUAGGUAUCUCUUAAGAAUGCAUUCCUGUACUUUUUUUUUCUACAGAGAUUUCUAGACAUUUUGUUGUGUUUUCUUAAUAAAAAAUUUCUCGAAUGCUUCAUCUUGGAACUCACUCACUUAUGGAAAUUGCUUCAAGGAUCUUGGUUUUUCAUAGAGACUCCAAGAUUCUUUCAGAAAUUCCUUUAGGGUUCUCCUUCAUAAAAUCAGAACUGUUUCGGAAGUUAUUAUUGGGAUUCCUCUAUAGAUGCCUUUGGAUGGCAAGAGACGAACCAGCCAAGGGCUGAAAGUCUCUUUAAUAAAGACAAAUCAAUCAAUCAAUCAAUUUGGAUGGCACUCCAAAUAUUAAAGAAUUCUCUGAGACAUUUGUUUGAAAAUUCCUCUAGAAUUUUCCCGACCGGAACGAGAAUCAAACUUGCCGUCUGCGGAUUGGCGAUCCAUAGCUUUAACCACUAGGCUAACUGGAGACCUCAAAUUACUAUGAUGUUGGAUAUUUUUCUUCCACUCUCCCAACUAUUACAAAUUCUGCAAAGUGAUCAAAGGAUUCCCUUCUAGAAAUAUUGCAUGAAUUCCUUACAAAAAUUUCCUCUAGAUUUUUCUUUCACAGGAUCCUUCAGAAACUUUUCCAAGAAAUCUUAUAGAAAUGCUUCCAUAGGAUUCCUCAAAAAUUUCCUCAUAAACUCCUUCAGAAAUCCGUACGUUUAUUUUACAGAAAAUCACGGACACAUGAAAUACACGGCUUAUUCUAGAAAACUUACAACAAUUCAUUAAAGGAAACCAAAGUUCAGUUUGGAGUGUUGUUUGAGAAAGCUUUCUACAGAUUUCUUUAGAAAUUAUUCCAAAAUUUUUGUUCAGUCAGAUUUCGAUGAGUUCCUUAUGAAACGUUUAGAAAAUGCUUCGGAAAUUUAUCCAGCGAUUCCUCAGAAUUUUCCACAUGAUUCAAAGAUUCAUUCAUAUUUUUUCCUAGUGGUAUCCUUAGACAAUUUUUCAGAGAUUCCUCCACAGCUGAGACGCAGGACAUAAAGGAAUAAAAAGUUUGAAAAAAUGUUUAAGUUUUUUCAAGAGAGCAAAAAAUUUGUUCCGAAAACGGGCUGACAAAAUCGGGUCACUUAUGUAUAUAUAUAGAAGAAGAAGAUAGAUUCCUUUUCAAAAAUGUCAAGUUUUUUUUAAGAGAUCUUUACAGAAGCUUGUCAAGACGUUUUUUCAAGUAUUUCAACUAGAAUUCUUUCAGAGGAACGUUCAAGAUUUGCUCCAGGAAUACUAUCAGCAAAUUCUUCAAAUCUCGAAGAAAUAAACUUGAAAAUUCUUCGAAAAAUUAUAUAGAGGAUUUCUCGUAGCAAAAUUCCUUAAUAAACAUUUCUAGGAAUACUCAUCGGGAAACCCAGGGAUUCCUUUAUAAAUUCUUGGGAUUUAUUUAGACAUCACUCUGGAGAUUCAUUUGAACAUAGUUCCUGAGAUUCCUACUUGGAUUGAUUCUACUGGAGAAUUUUCCAAAAAUGCCUGAAUGAUUUUGUCAGAAACUCCUUCAGGAUUGUUUUCAGAAAUUGCUGCUCGAAUUCGUUUCAAAAUUUCUUCUGAGAUGCCUUCAAAGUUACAUACUGAGAAUUUUUCUGGAUUUUGGGGAUAUCUUAAGGACAUUCAGCAAGGGAUUUUUUUAGAAAUAUAUCUAAAAAUUUAUUUUAAAAUUCAACAAUUUCUUCUGAGGGUUCCUUCAAAAAACUAUAUUGAAAAAUUCCUUGGCGGAAUCCUGCAGCAAUACCCACCAGGAGAUUUUUAGUAAAUAAUACCCCAGAGUUAUAAUAAAUAUUUCCUGGAAUUCGUUUAAAGAUUCCUACGGGAGUUUUCACAGUAGUGCUUCCAGAUAGAGCACUAAAAUACAGGAAGUAUUGUUGAAAGAAUUCUUGCAAACAUUUCUUAGAAAAUGCCUGGAGGGUUGACUGGAGGAAUGUUUUAAAAACUUCUGGUGAUACAUUUGGAGAUUCCUAGAAAAAAAUUGUCUGUUGUGAUUCCAGAAAAAAAAACUUCCUGAGGCAGUUUCUGAUAGAAUUUCUGGAUAAAUGCCAGUGAGAAUACUCAAGGAAUCUCCUUAAGACGCCUCCAUAAUUUACUAAAAUACCACGAGGAAAUCAGGAGGAGCUCUGAAAGAUUAUUAAAGGAAAAACUACUUGAGAAAUUCCUGAAGGGAUUGCUGAAGAAAACAGUAGAGGAAUUUCUGAAAGAAUCUCUUAAAUAAUGUUUGCAAAGUUCUUUACAGAAAUUGAAGAUAUAGGUUCUGGAGGAUUUCUUAGGAAAGUUUACUUGCGCAGCAUGCUUGCCUGGUACUCAUGUGAAUUCUUGUUGUAGCGAUACGUUACGUCUGGGACAAAUGUGGCCUAUGCUGUGGGCUCAUACUGACGACAAAACGGAGCAUAGUUAGUGAGUAGCAUAAACACAAACAUAAACACAACAUAAAUCGAACCAUUGUCCACAGAUUCCCAGAAGAAGGCGCAAUAUAGCGACCGAAACGUCGGAUGAAAGCUUAAAAAUCCGUUUUUGAGUUAUUCCUCCAAAGACUGAACGCCAUUCCCCUUCCAACAUAAUCACCAACAGUCGAAAUUCGAAGAAAGUUAAACAUGGCAAGUUUCUUUCAACGACUGGACAAUGAAUUCGGAUCCGGGACCAGAACACUGUUCAAAGAUUACGCCACGCAGAAUCGAAAACUCGGAAACAUGGUGACAAGAAAGGACUUCCUUCUCAGAUGCAGGAGAACGGGGGUGUUUCCAACGCACAUAACAAACGUCUUCAGGUGCGUCUUUCCGUUAAUCGAAGACAACAGUCCGUACCUCCACGAACUGGAACGACACGUCGCCCGAUUCAAGAAGGCAAUCUUGAACGUCGAAAUCAAACACACCUUCCAUACAGUGAAACAGCUCAAGCGAAAUCUUUCCGAUCUUAAGAUUCGGAUCAGCCACGCAGUGCCGGAGAACGAAAGCAAAACCUUCUUCGAGAAUCAAGAUUCGUUCCUCGAACGGCACAUCAGCACAAGCUCAAGUAGGACAGACAGGAAGUAUCAAAGUAUCAUCGAUCGCUCGUUGGAGGCGACCGCCAAUCGGAUGCCGAGCCACAACACGAAAGCGAUACUCAACAGCACUGACGUCACGAUUCCAAAAGACGUCGAGCUGCUUCUUAGUAUGGGGUCAAGGUUUGCGAUUCCAUACACAGACAUCAAUGAACUUCCUAUCUACCACUUGAUAGCGGACGUGGAGAACAUCAUCCAAACCAACCACGGGGAAGAGUUCCAAGAACGCAACAGGUGCGCGGUUGCGAAUCUCAUCCAGAACUUUCUCCACGCAGAGAGAGGAAAGGGGAGACACGAUGCGGCGACCAAUUUCUACAGGAGCACCACCAAAACGACGAGAGCGUUCCUAAAAGAACACCCAGAAUUGGUCAUAGCCGAGGCGGACAAGGGGAACAGAACAGUGGUGAUGAAACGGGACGAAUACGAAGGCAAAAUGCAACGCAUGAUCGACGAUGACGACACGUACCUAAAACUCAACCGCGAUCCAACGGCGGGGUACCAAAAGCGUAACAACAAUUUCGCCAAACGCCUGGCGGAUCUGAAACUCAUCGAUCGUGUCACCGAGAAAAGGAUGAAAACCUACAAAGCGACAGCUCCCCGAAUAUACGGCGCCCCAAAAGCGCACAAGGAGGGACUACCACUGAGACCGGUGGUACCGUGCAUGACGUCACCGUCGUACACACUGUCGCAGUACGUAGGCAAGAUCAUCCAAAAAUCCAUCACCGGCAAGUAUGAUGCGACAGACUCGUUCACGUUCUGCGAAUACAUCAACAGUGUGCAGUUGCCGCCGGAUUACGUCCUGAUUUCCUUGGACGUCGUAUCGUUGUUCACCUGCAUCCCCAAAGACUUGGUAAUACGUGACGUCAUCAACAACUGGGAAAACAUCAAGCAACACACCGAUAUAAACCUGGACCUGUUCUUGGAGAUGACCGAAUUCUGUAUCGAUUGCAGCUACUUCCGGUUCAAGGGACAGUUUUACCAACAAGUCUUCGGCACAGCGAUGGGCAACCCAUUAUCACCCACCAUCGCGGAUCUAGUGAUGGAGACAUUGCUAGACAACGUCGUGACGAGAGUGAGCUUCCCGUUCCCAGUGUUGAAGAAGUAUGUGGACGACCUGAUGCUGGCAGUUCCCAAGGACAAGAUCGAAGAGGUGAGAACAAUUUUCAACAGCUACCAUGAGAAAAUUCAGUUCACGGUGGAAGUCGAACAAGAAGGGAAAAUUCCGUUUCUAGACUUGCUCUUGGUUCGACAGUCAGACCAAACGAUCAAAACAGAGUGGUAUAUUAAGCCGAUCGCCUCAGGGCGUUUCCUGAAUUACCACUCCGCCCACAGCACAAAACAGAAGGUGAACGUGGCGAACAAUUUCAUUCACCGCGUCAAGACCUUCUCUACCAACGUCGAACCAAGUGCAACACGUGACAUCAUUUUCACCCAACUAAAACGGAACGAUUACCCCACUGCAAUGAUAAACCGCCUCAUCGAUCGAUCGAGGGAACGACAGGUUAACACCACCAAUGAUGACGUCACGAGCAGCGAGGAGAUGAUUUACCGAUCGAUGGUACAUGUAGGACAGUUAUCAGGAAACAUCCAAAAAGUCCUGAGGAAGGACUAUCCGAAUGUCACCAUCAGCUCGAAGAAUGCGAAAACUGUAGGAAAUCUUCUGCCUCCGGUAAAAGACGUUGUGGACAAGAACAGUAGAUCAAACGUGAUUUACAACAUCCCAUGUGCUAACUGCUCCGCGUGCUACGUAGGCAUGACAUCAAACAAACUACAAACGAGGAUCUCCAGUCACCGCUCCUGUUCCAACCGGCUGGAAAACAUGUGGGACCAAGGGAAGACGACGGAGGACGUGGAGGUAGCACAGCUACGAGAACGAACAGCGCUGCUAGAUCACUCGGCUGCCAACCGCCAUGUCUUCGCUUUCGAUCGUACACGAAUCGUGGAUGCUAGUCUUAAGAAACAAAACUUACACAUACUAGAAACAUGUCAUAUUAUAAACACACCGAACACAGUGAACAAGCGCACCGAUACAGACAAUCUGAGCAAUACGUACGCCGGCGUACUACACACUUUAAAAAACAAUACACGAAGUCAGGCCGUCCAACAGGCAAACGAAUCGGUACAACAAGAGUUAACACAAACAGAGUAAAAGUGGCGCCAAAACGGGCAACUGCAUCGCUGUUCUGCGACCCGGAUAGUUUUUUCGGAUAUUUUUCGGAUAUUUUAUCCCAUCCAUCCGCCGGCGGCGGCAGAGUAAGUAAAACCAGACGGAAAGUUUACUUGCGCAGCAUGCUUGCCUGGUACUCAUGUGAAUUCUUGUUGUAGCGAUACGUUACGUCUGGGACAAAUGUGGCCUAUGCUGUGGGCUCAUACUGACGACAAAACGGAGCAUAGUUAAUUCCCAGAAGAAGGCGCAAUAUAGCGACCGAAACGUCGGAUGAAAGCUUAAAAAUCCGUUUUUGAGUUAUUCCUCCAAAGACUGAACGCCAUUCCCCUUCCAACAUAAUCA